GCGAAAGUGGCGGAACUGGUAGACGCGCUGGAUUUAGGUUCCAGUGCCGCAAGGUGUGCGGGUUCGACUCCCGCCUUUCGCACCA
This 85-nucleotide transfer RNA is filed under the name Magnetococcales bacterium. RNAcentral's name for it is "tRNA-Leu". It matches the Rfam family "tRNA". From Rfam's summary of the family: Transfer RNA (tRNA) molecules are approximately 80 nucleotides in length. Their secondary structure includes four short double-helical elements and three loops (D, anti-codon, and T loops). Lineage: Bacteria; Pseudomonadati; Pseudomonadota; Magnetococcia; Magnetococcales. The record is from RNAcentral.